This 254-nucleotide ribosomal RNA is filed under the name uncultured bacterium. RNAcentral's name for it is "partial 16S ribosomal RNA". It matches the Rfam family "Bacterial small subunit ribosomal RNA", at positions 524 to 776 of the family's 1533-position model. The record is from RNAcentral.
UACGGUAGGGGGCAAGCGUUGUCCGGAAUCAUUGGGCGUAAAGAGCGCGUAGGCGGCCCUGUAAGUCCGCUGUGAAAGUCAAGGGCUCAACCCUUGGAUGCCGGUGGAUACUGCAGGGCUAGAGUCCGGAAGAGGCGAGUGGAAUUCCUGGUGUAGCGGUGAAAUGCAUAGAUAUCAAGAGGAACACCUGAGGUGAAGACGGGUUGCUGGGCUGACACUGACGCUGAGGCGCGAAAGCUAGGGGAGCAAACAGG